This 774-nucleotide ribosomal RNA is filed under the name uncultured Neocallimastigales. RNAcentral describes it as "partial large subunit ribosomal RNA". It matches the Rfam family "Eukaryotic large subunit ribosomal RNA", at positions 18 to 643 of the family's 3401-position model. The record is from RNAcentral. Lineage: Eukaryota; Fungi; Neocallimastigomycota; Neocallimastigomycetes; Neocallimastigales.
UCAGACGAUGCGUCAUGCAUAUCAAUAAGCGGAGGAAAAGAAACUAACAAGGAUUCCCCUAGUAACGGCGAGUGAAGCGGGAAGAGCUCAAAUUUGAAAUCUUAAAGGGUUUCCCUUUACGAAUUGUAGUUUAAAGAAGUGUUUUCUGUUGAGGUUUUGGUAAAAGUUCUUUGGAAUAGGACAUCAUAGAGGGUGAGAAUCCCGUAUUUGACCUUUACUUUCAACUUUGUGAUACACUUUCAAAGAGUCGGAUUGUUUGGGAAUGCAGUCCAAAAUGGGUGGUAAAUUUCAUCUAAAGCUAAAUAUUGGCGAGAGACCGAUAGCGAACAAGUACCGUGAGGGAAAGAUGAAAAGAACUUUGAAAAGAGAGUUAAACAGUACGUGAAAUUGUCAAAAGGGAAGCGUUUAACACCAGUGUUGUUUUUCUGAAAAUCAAUUAAAGAACUGUUUAUGCUAAGCUGUUUAGACUUUAUCAGCUAUCUGUUUAGUUUUGAGCUUUUCUUUAAUGCACUUUUCAGUUAACAAGUCAACAUCAAUUUCUUUUGCUGUAAAAAAGCUUGAGGAAGGUGGCUUGAGAUUCGUCUUAAGUGUUUAUAGCCUCUUGCCUAUGCAGUCGGGGAGAUUGAGGUCUGCAGCGUAGAUCCUUCGGGGCUAAAUGCAUUUGUGCUAAGUUAUAGCAUUUUAUAGACAACUUGUUGACUAUGAUUUGUCUUGUAGCUUACUCGCUUAUGUUAUUUUACCUACGCUUAGGAUGUUGACACACGCGCGUGCUCG